RNAcentral lists this ribosomal RNA (510 nucleotides) under uncultured bacterium. Its description in RNAcentral is "partial 16S ribosomal RNA". It matches the Rfam family "Bacterial small subunit ribosomal RNA", at positions 28 to 507 of the family's 1533-position model. The record is from RNAcentral.
GACGAACGCUGGCGGCGUGCUUAACACAUGCGAGUCGAACGAAGAGCGAUGGAAGCUUGCUUCUAUCAAUCUUAGUGGCGAACGGGUGAGUAACGCGUAAUCAACCUGCCCUUCAGAGGGGGACAACAGUUGGAAACGACUGCUAAUGCCGCAUACGAUCUGACCUCGGCAUCGAGGAUAGAUGAAAGGUGGCCUCUAUUUAUAAGCUAUCACUGAAGGAGGGGAUUGCGUCUGAUUAGCUAGUUGGAGGGGUAACGGCCCACCAAGGCGAUGAUCAGUAGCCGGUCUGAGAGGAUGAACGGCCACAUUGGGACUGAGACACGGCCCAGACUCCUACGGGAGGCAGCAGUGGGGAAUCUUCCGCAAUGGACGAAAGUCUGACGGAGCAACGCCGCGUGAGUGAUGACGGCCUUCGGGUUGUAAAGCUCUGUUAAUCGGGACGAAAGGCCUUCUUGCGAAUAGUUAGAAGGAUUGACGGUACCGGAAUAGAAAGCCACGGCUAACUACGUG